CUGCCUUCGUCAAAAUCUUCCCUCAAACUCUUUCCCCAAAUCAUAAUCUUUCCCGCUGCGUGUUCGUGUUCGUGUUCGUUUCUGUUUGGGCUGAGCGUCGAGGUGGAGGCGGCGAGGUGGAGGCGGCGAGGUGGAGGCGGCGAGGUGGAGGCGACGAGGUGGCGAGGUCGAGACGGCGAGGUCGAGGCGGCGAGGACUCUGUUGAGGCGAUUUUUAUCAGUUCCGUCUCCCUGUCACAGAUCAUCCACAACCACACUAUCACAAACAGUCAUCUAUGUUAUUCCAUUAUCACUUGCAUUUCCCCUGCCAAAACCUUAAAUUCGAGAGCAGGAAAUCUGGCACCGUAAAAGAAGCGGAAGUCGCAUUGCUGGAGUACCUCAACUUAUACGCCAACAAGCCCUCCUUCUUCCAUCACACAGGAACACUUCUUCCUUUGUUUCAUGGAGUUAUUUUGAAGACACUAUGAUAGAAGCAUUGUGAUGAUAGACACUUCUUCCUAAUUUGCAGGUUCACAUUUGAUGGAAUUAUCUUUCAAACUUCUGCAAUUGAUUCUGGGUAGGAUGUCCUUUGAAAUAUUCCAGAAUAAUGACUUAUUUGACAUUUCAGUUAUUUGGCAGCAAUAGCAAGGCAAUUUGUUGUCUUGCACAAUUCCUUGAAAUUUGAAGCUCUCCACUUGCUGAAUGCCAUUCAAACCUCAGAAGUUCCAAGGGAAGAAUCCAACGGAUAAGAGGAAUGUACUGCUUUAUUAGCUGUUGCGAACUGUGGAAGUGAUAACUGAUUUAGUUGUUUGGUUCAUUUCUGUUGUUCAAGAUUAGUGAUGAAGUGAUGAUUGACGCAACGGAUAAGGGCAAUAUUGCACCUAUAAUAAACCAUUCUUGCAUGCCAAACUGCUUUGCUAGGAUUAUGUGCUUGAGUGAUGAGGAGAAUCAGAUUGUGCUUAUUGCGAAGACCAAUGUUUCGGCUGGUGAAGAACUAACAUGAGGGGGAUGAUCCUUGAUUGAAGCUUUGGACGCUGAAAUAAAUAACUAGAAGUUGGAGCUUUCGGUGCAAGGUUAGCUACAAGGAUACUAUUGGGUCAUCAAAGGAAAAAAAGAGAUAAUGUCAAACUCAAUAGAAGGGCUCACCCAACAACUCUACUGGAUUUUUAGACUUUAGAACAUUUUAAUGGAAUUUUUUCAGUAAUUAUGUGAGGUUACUAUUAUAUCAUAGGUUUUAAAGAGGACUUUAUUAGUUUAUAUAUUAGUUUAUUAG
Vigna umbellata (rice bean) is the source of this 1251-nucleotide long non-coding RNA. RefSeq lists it as uncharacterized. The record is from RefSeq and is a predicted model, not a curated record. Lineage: Eukaryota; Viridiplantae; Streptophyta; Magnoliopsida; Fabales; Fabaceae.